CAAGGCUAUUCCCAUUUGAAACGACGAUGGAAUGGCCGUCUGAUUAGCCGGUUAGUCCCAGCUGUGUGUGGAGUACUCGGCCACUUCCGUUGCCUUUCUUGUCAAGUUAUGGCUCUGGCUGUUCCAUUUCCUCUGCCCCCUUUUUGCUUUCUUCGAGGCCGCCAGCCUUGGAGGAGACUGACCGACUAUAAGCGUGCGAAUGAACGCAGAGGAACUCCCACGACCGAAUCGAUGGCCAUUCUACACAAUUUCUUUUCUUCUAUGAUGAGAACAUUCGAACCAUACAAUGCUGUGCUCUAUGGCAGUCUGAGUUAUAACUGGCAAAUGUUUAAAAAAUAACGAUUUGGUUGGGAUUUUCCUAUAAAGUUAUCUGUGUAGGAUACAGCAUAGGCAACUAUUAAAAACGGCGAUUCAAUAAUGUCCAAUACAGCAUACACGUGAUAGUUUCGAUUCUCAUCUGGGUAUUGUUUGUUUUGUUUUUUUUAAAUUCCAAGUUAUUUUUUGUUUUUUAAGUUUGCCCGUGAUUCGGAAAAUAUUUCAAUUUAAGCUUAGAUAAAACCCAUUCUACCAAUCUAAAGCCAAUACUUAAAAAAAAACAAUAACCAUCGAUUAAAUGCCGAGUCAAACAGAUAACCAGCCUUAAUAAGUCAUAUCGACAGGUAUGAUGAGCGUGAAUACGCGAGAAUGCUGCAACAUCGGACGACUGCAAAAAAUUAUC
Long non-coding RNA from Daphnia pulicaria, 718 nucleotides. RefSeq lists it as uncharacterized. NCBI's taxonomy places the organism in Eukaryota, Metazoa, Arthropoda, Branchiopoda, Diplostraca, Daphniidae. The record is from RefSeq and is a predicted model, not a curated record. The transcript is spliced from 3 exons.